Molecule: ribosomal RNA, 216 nt
Filed under: uncultured eukaryote
Lineage: Eukaryota
Description: partial 18S ribosomal RNA
Rfam family: Eukaryotic small subunit ribosomal RNA
Source: RNAcentral
CAGGUCUGUGAUGCCCUUAGAUGUUCUGGGCCGCACACGCGCUACACUGAAUGGAUCAGCUAGUUUUUCCCUCUCCGAGAGGAGCGGGUAAACUGUUGAACCCCAUUCGUGGUAGGGAUCGGAGCUUGCAAUUGUUCUCCGUGAACCAGGAAUUCCCAGUAGGCGCAAGUCAUAAGCUUGCGUCGAUUACGUCCCUGCCCUUUGUACACACCGCCC